GAACGCUAGCGACAGGCCUAACACAUGCAAGUCGAGGGGCAGCACAAGGAGCAAUCUGAGGUGGCGACCGGCGCACGGGUGAGUAACACGUAUGCAACCUGCCUGUAAGCGGGGAAUAACCCGUUGAAAGACGGACUAAUACCGCAUAAUACUAAAUUACUGCAUGGUAAUUUAUUUAAACAUUUAUGGCUUACAGAUGGGCAUGCGCAUGAUUAGCUAGUUGGAGAGGUAACGGCUCCCCAAGGCAACGAUCAUUAGGGGUUCUGAGAGGAAGGUCCCCCACACUGGUACUGAGACACGGACCAGACUCCUACGGGAGGCAGCAGUGAGGAAUAUUGGUCAAUGGACGAGAGUCUGAACCAGCCAAGUCGCGUGCAGGAAGAAUGUUCCCUAUGGAUUGUAAACUGCUUUUGCAGGGGAAUAAAGUGCAUCACGUGUGAUGUUUUGUAUGUACUCUGCGAAUAAGGAUCGGCUAACUCCGUGCCAGCAGCGGC
This 494-nucleotide ribosomal RNA is filed under the name uncultured bacterium. RNAcentral's name for it is "bacterial SSU rRNA". It matches the Rfam family "Bacterial small subunit ribosomal RNA", at positions 31 to 518 of the family's 1533-position model. The record is from RNAcentral.